CAGUAGCCGCGGGAAUACGUAGGUGGCAAGCGUUGUCCGGAAUUAUUGGGCGUAAAGGGCUCGCAAGCGGUUUCUUAAGUCUGAUGUGAAAGCCCCCGGCUCAACCGGGGAGGGUCAUUGGAAACUGGGAAACUUGAGUGCAGAAGAGGAGAGUGGAAUUCCACGUGUAGCGGUGAAAUGCGUAGAGAUGUGGAGGAACACCAGUGGCGAAGGCGACUCUCUGGUCUGUAACUGACGCUGAGGAGCGAAAGCGUGGGGAGCGAACAGGAUUAGAUACCCCUGUAGUCCCUGUCUCUUAUAC
This 301-nucleotide ribosomal RNA is filed under the name uncultured bacterium. RNAcentral's name for it is "partial 16S ribosomal RNA". It matches the Rfam family "Bacterial small subunit ribosomal RNA", at positions 509 to 807 of the family's 1533-position model. The record is from RNAcentral.